This 191-nucleotide small nuclear RNA is filed under the name Phascolarctos cinereus (koala). Its description in RNAcentral is "U2 spliceosomal RNA (ENSPCIG00000036960.1)". It matches the Rfam family "U2 spliceosomal RNA". Rfam says of the family: U2 is a small nuclear RNA (snRNA) component of the spliceosome (involved in pre-mRNA splicing). Complementary binding between U2 snRNA (in an area lying towards the 5' end but 3' to hairpin I) and the branchpoint sequence (BPS) of the intron results the bulging out of an unpaired adenosine, on the BPS, which initiates a nucleophilic attack at the intronic 5' splice site, thus starting the first of two transesterification reactions that mediate splicing. The record is from Rfam by way of RNAcentral. Lineage: Eukaryota; Metazoa; Chordata; Mammalia; Diprotodontia; Phascolarctidae.
AUCGCUUCUCGGCCUUUUGGCUAAGAUCAAGUGUAGUAUCUGUUCUUAUCAGUUUAUUAUCUGAUACGUCCUCUAUCUGAGAACAAUAUAUUAAAUAGUUUUUUGAAUGUGGGAGAUGGAAUAGGAGCUUUCUCUGUUCACUCCACGCAUUGACCCAGUAUUGCAGUACUUCCGGGAACAGGGUACUUCCU